RNAcentral lists this transfer RNA (90 nucleotides) under Acidobacteria bacterium RIFCSPLOWO2_12_FULL_54_10. Its description in RNAcentral is "tRNA-Ser". It matches the Rfam family "tRNA". From Rfam's summary of the family: Transfer RNA (tRNA) molecules are approximately 80 nucleotides in length. Their secondary structure includes four short double-helical elements and three loops (D, anti-codon, and T loops). The record is from RNAcentral. Lineage: Bacteria; Pseudomonadati; Acidobacteriota.
GGUGAGGUGCGAGAGUGGUUGAAUCGGGCGGUCUCGAAAACCGUUGAACUCGAAAGGGUUCCGUGGGUUCGAAUCCCACCCUCACCGCCA